Molecule: non-coding RNA, 3408 nt
Organism: Picea glauca (white spruce)
Lineage: Eukaryota; Viridiplantae; Streptophyta; Pinopsida; Pinales; Pinaceae
Source: Rfam
CGACCCCAUCUCAAGCGAUAACACCCGCUAAGUUUAAGCAUAUAAUUAAACAGAGGAAAAGAAACUUACAAGGAUUCCCCUAGUAAUGGUGAGCGAACCGGGAAUAGCCCAGCAUGAAAAUCGGGUGGCAGCGUCACUUGAAUUGUAGUCUGUAGAAGCGUCCUUAGCAGCAGACCAGGCCUAAGUCCCCUGGAAGGGGGCGCCUGAGAGGGUGGCAUCCCAAUCGGGCCUGGACCCUACUACACAAUGAGGCAUUGUCAGCGAGCUGAGUUGUUUGGGAAUGCAGCCCUAAUCGAGUGGUAAAUUUUGUCCAAGGCUAAAUACAGGUGAGAGACCAAUAAAGAACAAGUACUGCGAGGGAAAGAUGAAAAGGACUUUGAAAAGAGAGUUAAAGAGUGCUUGAAAUUGCCUGGAGAGAAGCAGAUGGAGGCCUGCGAUGCGUCUCAAUCGAAUGCGGAACAACUCAAGUUGGUAUGUCACUCGACUUGAGGUGUGAACUAGCAUAGGCCGUUCCAUCAACAUAAGUGCAGGUGGAGUACUGCCUAUUGGUUUUUUGUUGUGGUGAUUAAGGAACGAAGUGUGCACCCUUGGGGCGGGCCACUGUGCACCUGCAUGCUUGUGGUGUUGGUUGGUGGGCUUUCCAUUCGACCUGUCUUGAAAUACGGACCAAGGAGUCUAACAUGGGUGUGAGUCAGUGGGUUUGUAAACCUACAAGGCAUAAGGAAGCUAACAGGUGAGAACCCCUCUCCAUGGGGUGCAUUGUCAAUCGACCUUGAACUUGUGUGAAGGGUUCGAGUGCAAGCACACCUAUUGGGACCUGAAAGAUGGUGAACUAUGCCUGAGUAGGGCAAAGCCAGAGGAAACUCUCGUGGAGGCCCGUAGAGAUACUGACGUGAAAAUCGUUCAUCUUACUUGGGUAUAGGUGUGAAAGACUAAUUGAAACAUCUAGUAGCUGGUUUCCUCCGAAGUUUCCCUUAGGAUAGAUGGAGCUCACAUGCAAGUUUUAUCAGGUAAAGAAAAUGAUUAAAGGCAUCGGGGGUGUAACACCCUCAACCUAUUCUCAAAAUUUAAAUAGGUAAGACGGUGUGGCUGCUCCAUUGAGCCAUGCCACAGAAUCGAGAGCUCCAAGUGGGCCAUUUCUGGUAAGAAGAACUGACAAUGCAGGAUGAACCGAAAGUCAAGUUAGGAUGCCAAACUAAACGCUAGCCCAGAUCCCACAAAGGGUGUUGGUUGAUUAAGACAGUAGGAUGGUGGUCAUGGAAGUUGAAAUCCGCUGAGUGUGUAACAACUUACCUGCCGAAUCAACUAGCCCCAAAAAUGGAUGGCACUGAAGCAUGCGACCUAUACUCGACCGUCAGAGCAAUUGUCAGGCUUUGAUGAGUAGGAGGAUGCAGGGGUCAUUGAGAAACCUUGGGCGUGAGCCUGAGUGGACCGGUCCCUGGUGCAGAUCUUGGUGGUAGUAGCAAAUAUUCAAAUGAGAACUUUGAAGACUGAAGUGGGGAAAGGUUCCAUGUGAACAAAACUUGGACAUGGGUUAGUCAAUCCUAAGAGAUGGGGAAGCCCUAUGUCAAGGGUGCCCUCUGCAUGAACAUCAAAAGGGAAUUGGGUUAAUAUUCCCAAACUGGGACAUGGUGGCGAACGACAACGUUAGGAAAUAUGGAGACGUUGUCGGGGGACCCGGGAAGAGUUAUCUUUUCUUUUUAACAACUUGCCCACCCUAAAAUCGUCUCAACCAGAGAUAGGGUCCAGCAGUUGGAAGAGCAUCGCACGUCUUGUGGUGUCCGGUGUGCCCUCGAUGGCCCUUGAAAAUAUGGAGGACCGAUUAUCGUCCAUGCCCAGUCAUACUCAUAACCACAUCAAGUCUCCAAGGUGAACAUCCUCUGGUCAACAUAACAAUGUAGUUAAGGGAAGAUGGCAAAACAGAUCCAUAACUUUGGGAAAAGGAUUGGUUCUGAGGGUUGGGCCUAGGGGUUUGCGUCCUCAACCCAUGGGCUAUCGGCAGUCUGCCCGAGCUGCUAUCACGACGAGGGUGGGAAGUCGCAUGUCGAUUGGGCUACGAAUGUAGAAUGUACUCUCAUAGUGGAUUUUCCCUAGGCAGCGAACAAUCGAAUAAAAAAUGGUACAGACAAGGGGAAUCCGACUAUUUAAUUAAAACAAAGAAUUGUGAUGGUCCCUGCGGAUGCUGACGUAAUGUGAUUUCUCCCUAGUGCUCUGAAUGUCAAAGUGAAGAAAUUCAACAAAGCACGUGUAAAUGGUGGGAGUAACUAUGACUCUCUUAAGGUAGUCAAAUACCUCAUCAUCUAAUUAGUGACGUGCAUGAAUGGAUUAAUGAGAUUCACACUGUCCCUAUCUAAUAUCUAGCGAAACCACAACCAAGGGAACAGGCUUGGUAGAAUUAGCGGGGAAAGAAGACCCUGUUGAGCUUGACUCUAGUCCGACUUUGUGAAAUGACUUGAGAGGUGUAGAAUAAGUGGGAGCCAUUUUCGGCACAAGUGUAAUACCACUACUUUUAACAUUAUUUUACUUAUUUUGUGAGGCAGAGAUUGGGCAUUUCCCCUAUUUUUGGCCUUAAGACACAUUUCAACGAGUCGAUCGAAGUGGAAGACAUUGUCAGGUGGGGAGUUUGGCUGGGGCAGCACAUAUGUUAAAAGAUAACGCAAGUGUCCUAAGAUGAGCUCAACGAGAACAGAAAUCUCGUGUGGAACAAAAGGGUAAAAUCUUAUUUGAUUUUGAUUUUAGGUACGAAUACAAACCUUGAAAGCGUGGCCUAUUGAUCCUUUAGAAUUUCGGAAUUUGAAGAUAGAGGUGUCAGAAAAGUUACCACGGGGAUAACUGUCUUGUGGCAGCUAAGCAUUCAUAGCGACGUUGUUUUUUGAACCUUCGAUGUCGGCUCUUCCUAUCAUUGUGAAGCAAAAUUCACCAAGUGUUGGAUUGUUCACCCGCCAAUAGGGAACGUGAGUUGGGUUUAAACUGUCGCGAGACAGGUUAGUUUUACCCUACUGAUGAACCGCGCCGCAAUAGUAAUUCAACUUAGUAUGAGAGGAACCAUUGAUUCACACAAUUGGUCAUCGUGCUUGGUUGAAAAUCCAGUGGCGCAAAGCUACCAUGUGUCGGAUUAUGACUGAAAGCCUCUAAGUCAAAAUCCACGCUAGAAGUGGCACUUGUCACUCCUUGACUGUAUCUUGACCCGCGAUAGGGGUGUCGCUUUGGCACCCCCAAGGGCCUGUGUCACUUGCGAACCUCGACCGAGAAGCGUCUCGAUCAGGACAGCUUUGAAGUUCAAUUUCAAACGGUCAUUGAGAAGAAUCCUUUGCAAAUGACUUAAAUACACGAUGAGGUAUUGUAAGUGGCAGAGUGGCAUUGCUUCCAUGAUCCACUGAGAUUCAGCCCUUCAUCACCUCGAUUCAG